GCAUUGGUGGUCCAAUGGUAGAAUUCUCGCCUGCCACGCGGGAGGCCCGGGUUCGAUUCCGGGCCAUGCA
Molecule: transfer RNA, 70 nt
Filed under: Saccoglossus kowalevskii
Lineage: Eukaryota; Metazoa; Hemichordata; Enteropneusta; Harrimaniidae
Description: tRNA-Gly
Rfam family: tRNA
About the family: Transfer RNA (tRNA) molecules are approximately 80 nucleotides in length. Their secondary structure includes four short double-helical elements and three loops (D, anti-codon, and T loops).
Source: RNAcentral